Long non-coding RNA from Globicephala melas (long-finned pilot whale), 1332 nucleotides. RefSeq lists it as uncharacterized. NCBI's taxonomy places the organism in Eukaryota, Metazoa, Chordata, Mammalia, Artiodactyla, Delphinidae. The record is from RefSeq and is a predicted model, not a curated record.
CUCGGCUCUGAGCGCAGCUGAGGGGAGUUGUGUGUCCUCAGGCACUGCCGGGGCUGCGGCUGGGACGCUGGGCUCAGCGUCUGUGCUGACAGGAGCUCGGUCUCCUCAGGACUCGCUGGGGUUUCGGCUUCAGGACAACGUGGGGCUGCGUCCACGCUGACGGGAGCUGGGUUUCCUGAGGACGCAGGCGACGCCGGCGGAAAAGGAGUUGCCAGGCUGCCACCUGCUAAAGAAGAGGAUGUGUCACCAUACCUGCCGCUGGAAUUUCUCCCCGGGCAGAGGGUCGCAUAGGACAUGGGGUCAUCAUCUGUUUAGUCUCCUCUUGGCUCUGACAGUUGCUCAGACUCUCCUUGCUUCCAUGACCCUGACAGCAUGGAGGGCUGCUCAGAGCACAGGCUCCGGACACGCAAGCUCAGCGGCCAUGGCUCACGGGCCCAGCCGCUCCGUGGCACGUGGGAUCCUCCCGUACCGGGGCACGAACCCGUGUCCCCUGCAUCGGCAGGCGGACUCUCAACCACUGCGCCACCAGGGAAGCCCCAAACAUUUUAAUAAUAGUCAUUUUUCUGAUGCAUGAGCAUGGAAUAUUGUUUUCUAUUGUGUCUUCAGUUUCCUUAUCAAUGCUUUAUAGUUUUCUGAGUAUAGGUCUUUCAUGUCCUUGGUUAAAUUUAUUCCUAAAUAGUUUGUUCUUUUUGAUGGAAUUGUAAAUGGGAUUGUUUUCUUGAUUUUUUUUGCUGGUGGUUCAUUAUUAGUGUGCAGAAAUAAAACUGAUUUGUGUAUAUUGAUUCCAUAUUUUGCAACUUUACUGAAUUUAUUUUUUAACAUAUUUUUUGAAGUAAUGUGAAAAAUUGUAAUACUAAAAUCUCACUGUUUCUACUGCACCCCAGGUAAUCCACAGGACCCACGCCAUGGUAGCUAACUAACAUCCUCUUCCCACGGUGCCUGUUAAUACCGUGUGGACUCCUACAAGGGAAUCUCAGAUUUACCUGACGGCCACCACUCACAGCUCCCGCAGAGCCCAGAGAUUUCUCCUGGAAGGAAAGGUUCUGGAAAAUCAGAGGGAUAAAUAAAGGAUGCAGCUGAUUCCCGCCUUGUGCUGACGCCCAAGAGGGUGAGGAGAGUGAGUGUUUUCUCAUUAGAAUUUUAAAUCCUCCAAGUAAUAGAUCAUUGGGGGGGCAUCCAGUGUUCUCCUGCUCAUUCUAAUAAUGUCAUUCCUGAAUUUUAAUGUGGUAAAUAAUUUAUAUUAUAAAUAUGCUGAGGGGGCGAUAUCCAUUUAAAAAAUGUUAGAGGUAACUCCAAGGGAUUUACAACAAACAAGGACACAGAACCCUGUGU